Molecule: unclassified non-coding RNA, 3171 nt
Filed under: Hevea brasiliensis (rubber tree)
Lineage: Eukaryota; Viridiplantae; Streptophyta; Magnoliopsida; Malpighiales; Euphorbiaceae
Source: RNAcentral
ACCUGUGAAUCCAAGGGAUCAGCUUCACGUGAAACGAGAUGUUGCAAACUAACGAUCACAUUGGAAGCUGCUAAAAUAGGAUCAAUUGAGUUCUGUGGAAUGGCAGCAUGUCCUCCCUUUCCACUUAUCACUGCAUCAAAGAAACCGCUUGCAGCCAAAAUGGGACCAGCUCUUAAGGCAACUGUACCAAUAGGGUAAUGACCAGAAACAUGUAUUCCAAAGAUGGCAUUAAUAUCUUUGAGGACUCCAGCAUCCAACAUUCUCUUGGCUCCUCCAUGGCCUUCCUCAGCUGGUUGGAAAAUAAGAGCAACCGUUCCCUAUCAAAACAACAAGAAUUAGUCAAGAAUUUUAUUUUGAAAGAGAAAUUGGCAUUCUACAUUACUGCCGAUUACUAAAAGAUAACGACACAUAAAACUGACUCUGGUUCUACAGCACUGAAUUUCCUAAGUGAUGCACAGCGAAGGGGUACAAUGUUCUCAUGGUGUACAAUAUUUUAGUCAGAGACUGUAGUUGCUACAUCUGUAAUGGAGGGGGGAAUGGAAAAGGUAAAAAGGGUAAACAUGUUUGGAAGAUGAUAUGCUUAUAGCUCAUUUCAAAUCUUCUAUACAAGGCAUCUACUCUCCUCAUGCCUUUAGAUAAUUAAUUUUAGUUGUUGCGAUCACACUUCAUUAUGAAUUUUUUACCACAUUAUCCAUGGGGCUCUCUUACCUCUUCCUUAUCUAAGCUGACAUUAUCAAAGGAGAAAAGGAAGGAAGGAAUGGGCAAUAAGUGAAUAUUUGAGCAGAAACAAAUCAUGCUUCUAAAAUUUCAGAACAUCAGAACCCAUUGAUCCAGUCCAGUGUAAUGUCCUUUUCAUGUGCUAGAGGAAUGCAUCUAAAAGAAACCAAUUAGUCAGUAUGGGAGUUUAAUGUCGGAUUCAUGAGGACAAAUAAUUCUGGGUGUUCUCGGUAUUUUAGACAGACUUGCCAAAGUAGUUCAGAGUCUCCAGACAUCUCAGUAAAGUUGCUUAUAAUUAGUGGCCAAAUAGCUUUCCUAUCAUGCAGUCCAGGUAGGAAUCUGACAUCUCUUACACUUUUACCUAUGUUAUAUGACCCCAUGAAAGGUUGAAUGAAAACUUUAAGCCAUAGGAACCUUCGAUAUGAAAUUCUCAUUCAUGUUAUAUUCAUAAAGAAGCCAAUUUCUUUAUUUUCAGAACAAGAGCUCCACACCAAAGACCUUAAUGCAGAUAAGAUGUUAAGAAAUAUGCCACCGGCAGCCUAUAAGCUUGACUCCAGCUAGAGACCUCAUCAGCCUGUAUGUUACAUGUAUGACACAUGCUUGCCAUUAAACAUCGCAAACUUUCAUAUCUGCUAGUUAAGAUACUUAUUUACAGGAAAAGAAGCCAGGGGAAGAAAACUUAAUUAAUGUGGGGCAUUAUAUCUUCCCUUCACUGACCACUAAAUUUCUUUCUGCAUUUCACAAUCCUGGAUCUAUCCCACACUCUCUGCAACUAUAGAAAAACUAAUUCUUCAUCAAUUUAAAUGAUUUGAUUAAUCAUAUGGACCUGACUAUUCAACAUCAGGUCAAGUCAAAAUAAUAUGUCUUGCAAGGAAAAGAGAGAACUUGGUGAAAGACAAUUAAAAUGAUGACAAUUAAGUAUAUAUGGAAUCAUAAGAGAUGAUUAGAAAUACCAAAGGGUAUAACCUUUUCAGCCCAAGAUUACAAACAAAAAAGUAAGCAUUUAUAUCUAAAAGAAGACAAAUAUAUGUAGAUCCAAUCCAACUAUUAAGGGUGACAGUACACAAAAUAAAGGAAUUAGAUAUCUUUAAGAGACAAAAAUCUACCUCAAGGGAAUGCCAGCUUCUUGUGAAGCGAAAAGGCUAAACAACAAAAAAUCAUUGGGAAUUUUGAAGUAAGUUCACGCUAGAACAACUAGUUCUCAUUGAUGAAUAAUCCAUGAGAAGAUUUGGUACAAAGAAAAUAACAUGCACAAGCAUGGAAACUGAUCAUAUAUUUAUGUAAUUCAAACACAAGAUUUUUAAAUAUUUCACAAAAUUCCAAUCCAUCACAUGUUUUGCAUUGUAUAUAUAUAUAAUUAUUCAACUAUCCAAUGCUUUUGGAUGUGACCUCUACUCUCUAUUUCCACCCAAUUGGAUAUUCCGUUGAAAGAAAAUAAUUUGAGGAAGAUUAAACCUGUAAUUCGUGGCGAUGCUCUUGAAGCAUCUUAGCAGCACCAAGAAGCAUUGCAACAUGGGCAUCGUGUCCACAAGCAUGCAUUUUACCUGGAACUUUACUCCUGUGCUCCCAUUCCACUGCCUCCUGCAAUUGAAACUCCAUAAUGAUUCUUCACAUCACUAAUUCUCUUUUAACUAAAUCCGGAAAGAUCCAGUAAACUGUACAUGUAACUUACCAGCGAGCAAGCAGCAGAAAGUAAUUUGAAAAAAAAAGAACAGAAACAUAUAUAAAAGAAAAAUAAAACAAGACCUCCAUGGCUAGAGCAUCCAUAUCAGCUCUUAUGGCAACGAAAGGAGGCCCACCGGUGCCAACAUAACCAACAACACCGGUAAUAGCAACUGGGUGCUUAUAAUGGAUGCCUAAAUGAUCAAGCUCGUCUCUAAUAAGCUUACUGGUCUCAAAUUCCUCAAAACCAAGUUCUGGGUUCUCGUGGAUUCUCCUCCUAAUACCGACCAUAUAAUCUGCAAGCUCUGGUUUCUUUGCAAGGUCAAGAAAAUCGACAGGGAUUCGAGCAAGUGCUUCAGGGCUUAAAGAAGGUUUUGAGGAGACAGGCAUUGGGGCAAAGAAGUUGAGAGCUAGAAAGCAUAGAAUCCAACGUUUGAAGAGUCCCAUUAAUCUGUUGAAAUUCAAGAAACUGGAAAGGCGAGAAAGAGAGGGAGAGAGAGAGACACACACACCGAGAGAUCGUGUUGCGUGCGAUGUUGAAGUGAAGAAUAAAGAGCAAGCAAACAACGACAACGAGAGAGACAAAGAUGACGACUCCCUUGAAGGAAACAUCCAAGAAAGGUCAGUCUUUAAGAAUAAGCUAAUCGGUACACGUGGGGGGAUCACAGAGCACAGUAAAGCUCUCUCUGCUUUUAUGUCUGUUUUCCAUGGCAAAUUCUUGCUCAGAAAAAGCCAUUUUCCACAUAACCAUUACAGGAUAUGGAUGAUAGUGUAGAGCGGAGGCUAUGCUGC